This 420-nucleotide ribosomal RNA is filed under the name uncultured bacterium. RNAcentral's name for it is "bacterial SSU rRNA". It matches the Rfam family "Bacterial small subunit ribosomal RNA", at positions 28 to 438 of the family's 1533-position model. The record is from RNAcentral.
GAUGAACGCUGGCGGCGUGCCUAAUACAUGCAAGUCGAACGCACAGCGAAAGGUGCUUGCACCUUUCAAGUGAGUGGCGAACGGGUGAGUAACACGUGGAUAACCUACCUCAAGGUUGGGGAUAACAUUUGGAAACAGAUGCUAAUACCGAAUAAAACUUCGUAUCGCAUGAUACAAGGUUAAAAGGCGCUACGGCGUCACCUAGAGAUGGAUCCGCGGUGCAUUAGUUAGUUGGUGGGUAAAGGCUACCAAGACAAUGAUGCAUAGCCGAGUUGAGAGACUGAUCGGCCACAUUGGGACUGAGACGCGGCCCAAACUCCUACGGGAGGCUGCAGUAGGGAAUCUUCCACAAUGGGCGAAAGCCUGAUGGAGCAACGCCGCGUGUGUGAUGAAGGCUUUCGGGUCGGUAAAGCACUGUUG